Molecule: long non-coding RNA, 1630 nt
Organism: Mustela lutreola (European mink)
Lineage: Eukaryota; Metazoa; Chordata; Mammalia; Carnivora; Mustelidae
Exons: 2
Source: RefSeq, a predicted model, not a curated record
CGCACCAGCUCUGUCCCUCCGCCGGCUACGAGAGCCGCCCUUGGAGCUCCCACACGGCAGAGCAGAAACCGGCAUCCUCGGCCUCUCGAGACGCUGCUCUACUCGCCCCACUUGGCGGCACCGCGGGCCGCUGUCUCUCUGCCAGCGCCGAGCAGGAAGGUUCUGGGAGCGACACAGUGGAAGGGAGCAGCUUCCUCCGUCAGGGGGGGCCCCGGUGCCGCCGGCGGGCCUCACCCUGCACCCCGUGACCUCUCCGGCCCACUGACCGCGGCUUCCUGCUGUGCUGUGCGUCCUUGAGGACGGUCCCGCGUCACUGCGGAGUCACUGCGGAACGGGUGGGGAAGGACGCGCCCUCCCGGGGCCGCGCAUGGCCCCAAGCGGGUCAGUUGUCCCUACCCUCAGGGGUGGGGCCUCGACCCUGGACCCUGACGUUCCUUAUUCUUUGUCUCAGGCGUUCCUGGUUCCUGUCGGUACCUGGGGGAGGCUCCGAGAGCCCGGGGUCUCGGGUCAGUGCAGAAGCCCCUCUGGGCCCCUCCUCCACCUCCGGAUCUCGCCUCUGGGUCACGAAGCUGUCACAGAGCUGCAGGACCAGGACCAAAGUGCUGACAAAGAUGUGCCGCAGAGGGGAGGAAGCAGAGGCUGGACGGCCGGAGAAAGGGGCCUGAAUCCGUCUGCCCAGCCAGGCGGAGCUCCUCCUGGGGCCUCGCUCACAGGCUUAGCCUCUGGGACCUGGGGGCGCGGCGAGGUCCACGCUGAGUUCCCAGGCAGGGAACCUCCAUGCCUGACGGGAAACGUGGGGGAGUGGCGGGCAGCUUGGGUGUGGGACAUGGGCCUGGGCCGGCGGUGGGCCCGCUGGCUUCUGGAGGGGCAGGACACCCCGGUCACGUGCACCUGACUUCCCAGGACGAAGGCAGAAGUUACAAAACACCAACAGCCAGGACUGGGGACGGAAACUCUGCUGAGCUCCGCGGCACCGGGAUGUCUCUUCUCCGGGGUAUCUGGGCUGUGUGUGGUCGUAUGAACAACUUACAGCUGCGGCUCGUUGAGAAUAGAUUCUAGAACGAAGCCCAAGAACCACUUCUAGUCCAUAAACGUCUGCACGGGCUGGGCUGGGCAGGCUGUUCCCUCUCUGCACGUCCUACACAGAAGCGGCCUAGAGAGACGUCCCACUGCGUGAGCGUGCGUGUGUGUGUGUGUGGUGCGUGUGCGCGUGUGCGUGUGCGUGUGCGUGUGUGGGGUUCAUGUGCCUCACUCACUCCCUCAGUAAUGUUUGCUGAGUGAUUAUCAGGUCUUAGGAACUGAGGACACGCAUCUGAUAAGAAUGACCAAGUCCUUCUCAUGAGGUUGGUGUUCUGGUGACUAAGAUUUCAGCCAUUUGGGGACCUGGAGCAGAAAUUACAGGGAAGAAGAAUCUAUUGGGGCCCAAACCAUCUGUGCUUACAGAUAAUUUCUGGACUAUCAGUGAAACAAGGGGUCCUUACCGCAGCCAAACGUGGGUGGGCCUCGACUUCCCUCUCGGACGCACCCACUCUUCUGAGCACUCGCUCGAUACUUCCCCAAAUGAUGAUAUUUCACCCAAAAGAAAGUGACACAAAAUACGGUUUAGAAGAAAUUUUUCUUAUGGUCUGAA